CAAGGAACUAAGAGUUUAUGGGGGAUACCUUGGCAUUCAGAAGCGAUGAAGGACGUGGUUACCGACGAUACGCUUCGGGGAGCUGGAAACAAGCUAUGAUCCGGAGGUCUCCGAAUGAGGCAACUUUUUAACUACUUAUUGAAUUCAUAGAUAAGAAAGAGCGAACCUAGAGAAUUGAAACAUCUUAGUACCUAGAGGAAAAGAAAGUAAAAACGAUUCCCUGAGUAGCGGCGAGCGAAACGGGAUUAGCCUAAACUUAAUUACAAAUUAAGGGUAGUGGGACAAUAACAACAAAUUUAAUGGAACAAUUAGAGGAAUAAGUUUGGAAUACUUAACCAUAGGGAGUGAUAGUCUCGUACUCGAAAAUUGAACCAAUUUAAUUGUAUCCCAAGUAGCAUGGAGCACGUGAAAUUCCGUGUGAAUCUGCGAGGACCACCUCGUAAGGCUAAAUAUUCCUGAAUGACCGAUAGUGAAACAGUACCGUGAGGGAAAGGUGAAAAGAACCCCGGGAGGGGAGUGAAAAGAACAUGAAACCAUAAACUUACAAGCAGUAGGAGGACGACUAAAACGUCUGACUGCGUGCCUGUUGAAGAAUGAGCCGGCGACUUAUAGGUAGUGGCAGGGUAA
This 627-nucleotide ribosomal RNA is filed under the name Skeletonema menzelii. RNAcentral's name for it is "partial Bacterial large subunit ribosomal RNA". It matches the Rfam family "Bacterial large subunit ribosomal RNA", at positions 1 to 649 of the family's 2925-position model. The record is from RNAcentral. Lineage: Eukaryota; Bacillariophyta; Thalassiosirophyceae; Thalassiosirales; Thalassiosiraceae.